This 295-nucleotide long non-coding RNA is filed under the name Elaeis guineensis (African oil palm). Its description in RNAcentral is "long non-coding RNA (EGUI_LNC002987)". The record is from RNAcentral. Lineage: Eukaryota; Viridiplantae; Streptophyta; Magnoliopsida; Arecales; Arecaceae.
UCUCAAAUUGGAGUCUUGAAACAACAGAUUGGUACUAGAGGAAGGACUUUCAGUCUAAUCAAAGAGGAAAGAGAAUAUGACAAAAAUGAGAUCACACACUUUACCGCCUCUCACCGAUGGUCCUCUCACCACAGCUAGAGUGGUGCUACUCGAGAGUCUGCCAUAGUGCAACCUCCUAUCUCAACCAAUCCAUAGUGCAACAGAUGGCGAAGUGACCUUGAUCUUGAGAGCCACCACCUUAGAUGGCUCUCUCUCAGCAUAGUCAUUGGUCCCAUCCCAAGAGUCCAGCAUCAGC